AUCAAGGUCAGCUAAUUUAAGCUCCUGGGCCCAUACCCCAAGCAUGAUGGUUAAAGUCCAUCCUUUGAUA
This 70-nucleotide transfer RNA is filed under the name Sillago indica (Indian whiting). RNAcentral's name for it is "tRNA-Met". Lineage: Eukaryota; Metazoa; Chordata; Actinopteri; Sillaginidae. The record is from RNAcentral.